Molecule: ribosomal RNA, 460 nt
Filed under: uncultured bacterium
Lineage: Bacteria
Description: partial 16S ribosomal RNA
Rfam family: Bacterial small subunit ribosomal RNA
Source: RNAcentral
CCUACGGGAGGCAGCAGUGAGGAAUAUUGGUCAAUGGACGGAAGUCUGAACCAGCCAUGCCGCGUGCAGGAAGACGGCUCUAUGAGUUGUAAACUGCUUUUGUACAAGGGUAAACCUGAAUACGUGUAUUCAGCUGAAAGUACUGUACGAAUAAGGAUCGGCUAACUCCGUGCCAGCAGCCGCGGUAAUACGGAGGAUCCAAGCGUUAUCCGGAUUUAUUGGGUUUAAAGGGUGCGUAGGCGGAUUGAUAAGUUAGAGGUGAAAUGUCCGAGCUUAACUCGGGAACUGCCUCUAAUACUGUUGAUCUAGAGAGUAGAUGCGGUAGGCGGAAUGUAUGGUGUAGCGGUGAAAUGCAUAGAUAUCACGCAGAACCCCGAUUGCGAAGGCAGCCUUCCGACGCCCAACUGACGCUGAGGCACGAAAGUGCGGGGAGCGAACAGGAUUAGAUACCCUGGUAGUC